RNAcentral lists this ribosomal RNA (157 nucleotides) under Curvularia pallescens. RNAcentral describes it as "Cochliobolus pallescens 5.8S ribosomal RNA". It matches the Rfam family "5.8S ribosomal RNA". Rfam says of the family: 5.8S ribosomal RNA (5.8S rRNA) is a component of the large subunit of the eukaryotic ribosome. Lineage: Eukaryota; Fungi; Ascomycota; Dothideomycetes; Pleosporales; Pleosporaceae. The record is from RNAcentral.
AAACUUUUAACAACGGAUCUCUUGGUUCUGGCAUCGAUGAAGAACGCAGCGAAAUGCGAUAAGUAAUGUGAAUUGCAGAAUUCAGUGAAUCAUCGAAUCUUUGAACGCACUUUGCGCCCCCUGGUAUUCCGGGGGGCAUGCCUGUUCGAGCGUCAUU